Molecule: small RNA, 1376 nt
Filed under: Malus domestica (apple)
Lineage: Eukaryota; Viridiplantae; Streptophyta; Magnoliopsida; Rosales; Rosaceae
Description: sRNA MD07G0015200
Source: RNAcentral
AUGGGAUCGCCAACUUCACAUCACUACAAUCGCUUUACAUUGAAAAUUUCCCAAAUUUGGCAGCACUACCAGAAGAAAUAAGCAAUCUCACGUCACUGCAUUACCUUCAAAUUACUCAUUGCUCUAAUUUGGCAUCACUGCCAGAAGGGAUUCGUGGACUCCCCUGUUUAAAUACAUUGUACAUUUAUGAUUGCCCCAAGUUACUCCAAAGAUACAAGCAAGAAAGAGGUGAGUACUGGCACAAGGUUGCUCACAUCCCAUACCUUAUUAUUGAUUAAGAUGACAUGCUAUGUGGAUAAAUGAUUCCGUCCACACUUCUGCUUUCUCAUUGAGCAACACUAGUUCCACGGUGAAGUGGGUGUUCAUCUAGCGCUUUUUGUGAUGUAGUGUUGUGAAGAUUGUGACGGAGCAAAUACUUUCGUGGCCCAUGGCAGGUGCUAAACUUGAUAAUUGUGGAUAAUGGUCCGAAUACAACAGAUUUGGGUGAUGCAUGGUUCUUAAAUUCUCCAGAAGAAUCGCUGGGAUUCAUCCUUGCAGAUGAAGGUUUCAAUGUAUGGGUAGGGAACGCGCAUGGAACACGUUGGAGUCAUGAUCACACAUCUUCAUCAGAAGAGAAUAAUGUUUAUACUUUAUUUUAGGAUUUUUAGGAUUGGAGUUGGCAGGAAUUGGCUCUAUUUGAUCUAUCAGAAAUGAUGCGCUGCAUAUAUUUGACAACAAGCUCCAAAGUCUUUGUUGUUGGACGUUCACAGGGAACAAUCAUGUCUUUAACUGCUCUCAGCCAGCCAGAUAUAGCAGAACUAGUUGAAGUUGCCGCUCUUUUCAUCCAAUAUCAUACUUGGAGCAUCACUUCUAAAUUUGCACCUAAAAUAGUCAACAUAUAUGUUGAUCAGUGAAUGGGACGUCAACCUUUUGGAUUCAAUAUGUGAUGGCCAUGUUGACUGCUUUGUGUGGUUGUAUAUGAUUUUGCUUUUGAUUGUCGGGGUUUAGGUACUAUGUCCCCUACUGUAUGUUUUUUAUUCAAGUAAUAUAAUAUGGGCGUGAGGGCCUAGCCCCCCAGCUUCGACUGGGUUCCAGCCCUCGUUAAAUGUUUCUUUUCAAUAUAUGUUGAUGUAUUGAAAAAAGGCACAUUUUGAAUGUUCGUCCCGAGCACCAGAAAACUCAAGACCGGCCCUCAUUUGAAGGGCGAGGAAGCAAUCCACCCACGCAACCUUUUGUUUUGCAGAAUAUAGCUUUAGCAAUUUCAGUCAAUAAGGGUGUAAAAUGUUGUUAAGAGAGAACCCCACGGAAGUGUAAAAGUGUGCAAGGUGCAUGACCUUGUACGCUAACUUGCCCUUUCAAUUUUGAAAGCUGAGAAAUUGUGUUAAAAAAAACAAUGA